RNAcentral lists this ribosomal RNA (429 nucleotides) under uncultured bacterium. RNAcentral describes it as "bacterial SSU rRNA". It matches the Rfam family "Bacterial small subunit ribosomal RNA", at positions 29 to 506 of the family's 1533-position model. The record is from RNAcentral.
GCGAACGCUGGCGGCAGGCCUAAUACAUGCAAGUCGAGCGCACCUUCGGGUGAGCGGCGGACGGGUGAGUAACGCGUGGGAAUCUACCGUACCCUACGGAAUAACGCAUGGAAACGUGUGCUAAUACCGUAUACGCCCUUAGGGGGAAAGAUUUAUCGGGGUAUGAUGAGCCCGCGUUGGAUUAGCUAGUUGGUGGGGUAAAGGCCUACCAAGGCGACGAUCCAUAGCUGGUCUGAGAGGAUGAUCAGCCACAUUGGGACUGAGACACGGCCCAAACUCCUACGGGAGGCAGCAGUGGGGAAUAUUGGACAAUGGGCGCAAGCCUGAUCCAGCCAUGCCGCGUGAGUGAUGAAGGUCUUAGGAUUGUAAAGCUCUUUCACCGAUGAAGAUAAUGACGGUAGUCGGAGAAGAAGCCCCGGCUAACUUCGU